Molecule: unclassified non-coding RNA, 1001 nt
Filed under: Stylophora pistillata
Lineage: Eukaryota; Metazoa; Cnidaria; Anthozoa; Scleractinia; Pocilloporidae
Description: tetratricopeptide repeat protein 38-like, transcript variant X2
Source: RNAcentral
UCCGUGUUCUGCAAUGGGCAGUCAUCACAAGUGUAACAAGUAAAGCAACAUUAAGCACACUAAAAUUGCAUUUUUUUCUCUCGGAAUGUCUUAUAUGGACAGUAACUGGAGGGAUCUUGACGCUAGGAGAAGUGAUGGAUUACCACUGACAACAAGUAGCAAUGAUGCAGCAAAAAUGUUUGAUGCUACCCUAACACAGUACACAGGAUGGUAUGACUGACAACAAUGUCAAUGGAAUUGAGGGCUCUGUCUCGAAGGUAUUAGCAGCAGAUCCCAACUUUGGCCGUAAUGGGUCAUGUGAUCUCGUGUGGCUUAGACCUGAUCUCAUCUGGAAAAGGAAUCCACACAGAUCAAGAGCUGAAGAGCAGCAUGCUGUCCCUUAAAGGGUUAGCUGCCAGGAGUAACAUCACAAACAGAGAGAGACUGCAUGUCAAGGCAGUCAAAGAAUGGGCAAAAGGAUAUCCUCACGGAAUGUACGCGUUUGGCCUGAUAGAAACAGGAUUUUACAAAAAGGCGGAGAAGCAUGCAGGUCUUGAAUUGAGUCCAAGAGAUUGCUGGAGCACUCAUGCAGAGGCUCAUGUCAUAGAAAUGGAAGGACGUCAGGAUGAUGGAAUUAAAGUCCUUAGCACGACCUUGAAUGACUGGACUGGAGAACAUCAAGCCGCAUUGGACAUUUAUGACGAGGAGGUUGGGAAACGUUGCCAUUCUGGUGCCAUGCUUGACUUAGUGGACGCUUCCUCACUGCUCUACACACUUCAGAUGGAAGCUAAUGAGAUAACACGUACCUGCAGAUGUGUUUUGUUAAUGUUAAUGAUCGGUGGAGAGAGCUGUUUCAUUUUUGGGAGUCACACACAGAUAAUCACAUUCUGGUUUUCAAUGAUGUUCAUGUGUUGAUGUGUACAAUGGGAGCUAAAAAGGAAGAUGCAACACUAACUCUAAUGAUGUCACUUAGAGACUUUGUUAGGGAUGGCUCAGGAACAAAUUGCGAAGUACCUAGAGAG